This 76-nucleotide transfer RNA is filed under the name bacterium. RNAcentral describes it as "tRNA-Gly". It matches the Rfam family "tRNA". Rfam says of the family: Transfer RNA (tRNA) molecules are approximately 80 nucleotides in length. Their secondary structure includes four short double-helical elements and three loops (D, anti-codon, and T loops). RNAcentral also lists the same sequence under 3 other names. The record is from RNAcentral.
GCGGAUGUGGCUCAGUUGGUAGAGCGUCACCUUGCCAAGGUGAAGGUCGCCGGUUCGAUCCCGGUCAUCCGCUCCA